UUUAAACAAAUAUAUUUUUUUAAGUGCA
RNAcentral lists this non-coding RNA (28 nucleotides) under Mus musculus (house mouse). Lineage: Eukaryota; Metazoa; Chordata; Mammalia; Rodentia; Muridae. The record is from RNAcentral.